GGCUCAGAUUGAACGCUGGCGGCAUGCCUUACACAUGCAAGUCGAACGGCAGCGGACCUUCGGGUGCCGGCGAGUGGCGAACGGGUGAGUAAUAUAUCGGAACGUACCUUUCAGUGGGGAUAACGUAGCGAAAGUUACGCUAAUACCGCAUAUUCUGUGAGCAGGAAAGCAGGGGAUCGCAAGACCUUGCGCUGAUUGAGCGGCCGAUAUCAGAUUAGCUAGUUGGUGAGGUAAAGGCUCACCAAGGCGACGAUCUGUAGCGGGUCUGAGAGGAUGAUCCGCCACACUGGAACUGAGACACGGUCCAGACUCCUACGGGAGGCAGCAGUGGGGAAUUUUGGACAAUGGGCGCAAGCCUGAUCCAGCCAUGCCGCGUGAGUGAAGAAGGCCUUCGGGUUGUAAAGCUCUUUCGGCCGGGAAGAAAUCGCACGGGUUAAUACCCUGUGUGGAUGACGGUACCGGAAUAAGAAGCACCGGCUAACUACGUG
This 488-nucleotide ribosomal RNA is filed under the name uncultured bacterium. Its description in RNAcentral is "bacterial SSU rRNA". It matches the Rfam family "Bacterial small subunit ribosomal RNA", at positions 21 to 507 of the family's 1533-position model. The record is from RNAcentral.